AGAUUGAACGCUGGCGGCAUGCCUUACACAUGCAAGUCGAACGGCAGCACGGGAGCAAUCCUGGUGGCGAGUGGCGAACGGGUGAGUAAUACAUCGGAACGUGCCCAAUCGUGGGGGAUAACGCAGCGAAAGCUGUGCUAAUACCGCAUAAGAUCUACGGAUGAAAAGCAGGGGAUCGCAAGACCUUGCGCGAAUGGAGCGGCCGAUGGCAGAUUAAGGUAGUUGGUGAGGUAAAGGCUCACCAAGCCUUCGAUCUGUAGCUGGUCUGAGAGGACGACCAGCCACACUGGGACCUGAGACACGGCCCAGACUCCGUACGGGAGGCAGCAGUGGGGAAUUUGGACAAUGGACGAAGCCUGAUCCAGCCAUGCGCGUGACGUG
Molecule: ribosomal RNA, 381 nt
Filed under: uncultured soil bacterium
Lineage: Bacteria
Description: bacterial SSU rRNA
Rfam family: Bacterial small subunit ribosomal RNA
Source: RNAcentral